CUUUAUGGCCAAACCAUUUUGAGAAUGCCCAAUCUCCUCUGAUGUUGAAAGCUAAUCGAUGCCGAGGCUGGUUAAUACUUGGAUGCGAGUCCUCUGCAGUAUUUAGUGCAUACUGA
RNAcentral lists this ribosomal RNA (116 nucleotides) under Periophthalmus magnuspinnatus. Lineage: Eukaryota; Metazoa; Chordata; Actinopteri; Gobiiformes; Gobiidae. The record is from RNAcentral.